CAGUCGCCACGGUAAUACGAAGGGGGCUAGCGUUGUUCGGAAUCACUGGGCGUAAAGGGUGCGUAGGCGGGCAUUUAAGUCAGGGGUGAAAUCCCGAGGCUCAACCUCGGAACUGCCCUUGAUACUGGGUGUCUUGAGUCCGGAAGAGGUGAGUGGAACUGCGAGUGUAGAGGUGAAAUUCGUAGAUAUUCGCAAGAACACCGGUGGCGAAGGCGGCCCACUGGUCCGGAACUGACGCUGAGGCACGACAGCGUGGGGAGCAAACAGGAUUAGAUACCCCCGUAGUCCCUGUCUCUUAUAC
Molecule: ribosomal RNA, 301 nt
Filed under: uncultured bacterium
Lineage: Bacteria
Description: partial 16S ribosomal RNA
Rfam family: Bacterial small subunit ribosomal RNA
Source: RNAcentral